Molecule: long non-coding RNA, 400 nt
Filed under: Callithrix jacchus (white-tufted-ear marmoset)
Lineage: Eukaryota; Metazoa; Chordata; Mammalia; Primates; Cebidae
Description: lncRNA (ENSCJAG00000070806.1)
Source: RNAcentral
GGGGCUUCUCUGCUAACUGCCUCUACCUCUGGAAGACCAUUCUUCCUCCCCUGUCAGGCCAGUCAGCUUCUGUAAACUAAAAUCAUUUAAUCAUGUAGAUACAAGGCUAUUCUGAUAGGAAAAGGAAUGAGCCAAGGAGUCACAGGCUCAAAGAAUUUUAGAAUUGGAAGGAUGUUAGAGGGGAAAAUGCACUCAAGGGACCCUCUCUGAAGAGCUGGUUGGGAGUAGGGGCAUGAUGGCUGAAGCUCUCUUUUCUGCUUUGUCCUGGUUUCUCUCAGCUGUAUUUCCGGAACUGAAGCAAGAAUCCGUGUUGAGAGGUGGCAAAGAGCAAACCCAAGGUGGACCGGGGACAGAGGCAGCCACCGCAUCUGCACUGGCACAGGACUUCAACUCUGAAUGA